This 141-nucleotide ribosomal RNA is filed under the name uncultured bacterium. Its description in RNAcentral is "partial 16S ribosomal RNA". It matches the Rfam family "Bacterial small subunit ribosomal RNA", at positions 355 to 508 of the family's 1533-position model. The record is from RNAcentral.
UGGGGAAUAUUGCACAAUGGGCGAAAGCCUGAUGCAGCGACGCCGCGUGAGGGAUGACGGCCUUCGGGUUGUAAACCUCUUUCAGUAGGGAAGAAGCGAAGGUGACGGUACCUGCAGAAGAAGCGCCGGCUAACUACGUGC